RNAcentral lists this ribosomal RNA (200 nucleotides) under uncultured bacterium. RNAcentral's name for it is "partial 16S ribosomal RNA". It matches the Rfam family "Bacterial small subunit ribosomal RNA", at positions 8 to 208 of the family's 1533-position model. The record is from RNAcentral.
AGAGUUUGAUCCUGGCUCAGGACGAACGCUGGCGGCGUGCUUAACACAUGCAAGUCGAACGGAGAUGUUAGCAAUAACAUCUUAGUGGCGGACGGGUGAGUAACGCGUGGGCAACUUGCCUUGGACUGGGGGAUAACACAGGGAAACUUGUGCUAAUACCGCAUAAUAUCACGGGAGGACAUCCUUUUGUGAUCAAAGGA